Molecule: long non-coding RNA, 375 nt
Organism: Phyllopteryx taeniolatus (common seadragon)
Lineage: Eukaryota; Metazoa; Chordata; Actinopteri; Syngnathiformes; Syngnathidae
Exons: 3
Source: RefSeq, a predicted model, not a curated record
GACAAUUAAAAGCAACAAUGUGCCGAAUGACUGCUAAAUGAUUGUUGUUGUUUUUGCCACAGAAUAGCAGCUUCCCAUAAGGCGAGUCAACAAGGAACAUGUCCACUCAGGUUGGGUACACCCUGGACUGGUUACCAGCAAAUUGCAGGCCGCUUCCCUUCUCUCCCUCCCUCACCUGCGCGGAGAGGUAGCAAGAUGGCGAUGAGCGAACUAAAGCUGUUGCUUUAGAGUAUUUUGCAUCCACCAACCAGGACAGGUCCUGAGGAGGAACACCUACGGCGCUUCAUCUCAUCAAACAUGCUGCUAAAUCCAACAUUGUAUUGCAUCAUAUCAUGUGAUUAAUAUUGUCCACUCUGCAUCCAUCGCAGCCUCGUC